This 264-nucleotide small nuclear RNA is filed under the name Cricetulus griseus (Chinese hamster). RNAcentral's name for it is "7SK RNA (ENSCGRG00001006418.1)". It matches the Rfam family "7SK RNA". From Rfam's summary of the family: 7SK was discovered as an abundant small nuclear RNA in the mid-70s but a possible function has only recently been suggested. The record is from RNAcentral. Lineage: Eukaryota; Metazoa; Chordata; Mammalia; Rodentia; Cricetidae.
GGAGGGUAUGGAGGGACAUCUGUCACCCUUUGAUACCAGGGUUGAUUUGCCCGAUCUGGCUGGCUGGACGGAUGUCUCCUCCCUCCUUCCCUCAGGGCUCCACUGUCCACCGUUGAAGAGGACCUUCCCCAAAUUGAGGGGGAUGGUCUUCAGCCAAGAAUAUAGAUAGAGCAGUAGUGCUUCCUUCUAGAACCCCGAAACAAGCUCUCAAAUGAGGAAGGAAUAUUGGGACUGUAAAAUGUGUGUGCGCUGAGAGCCCAUCCC